Molecule: long non-coding RNA, 1482 nt
Filed under: Gallus gallus (chicken)
Lineage: Eukaryota; Metazoa; Chordata; Aves; Galliformes; Phasianidae
Description: lncRNA (ENSGALG00000051232.2)
Source: RNAcentral
AGCUGAACACAAUUAGGCUUGGUGUAGGGCAGCUGGGUUGCAGUUGUUGGGCUGAAGUGAAAGACAUCAGACUUGCCAACAGAGAGACUUCAACCAGGAUCCUCAGCAUCCCCGAUGGAUGGUGUGCCUGCAGAACUGCUGGCUGGUAAAAUCUUUAGAAAGCAGCUAGAACCAUCCUUGUUUCCAGAGGACCUUCAACCCGCAGUGAAAGGGAGGUGCUGUUACAGUGUAUGAUUCUGUACAGAAUAUGCCACUUACAGCUGCCAUCAGAAGUGCUUAUUUUGCCAAUGGAAUUUAAAUGACAUCUGGGUGUGAGCCUUGCCUCAAUACUGCAGCCUGGAGAUGGCAGAAUCCCCAGCAGGAAAAAGGGUGAAUAAGAGAUGCUCUGGUCGGAGAACAGUGAUCCAGGAGCCACGGCUUUUGCAAGCACCCCCCUCAGUGGUCCUCUGCCCAUGUCCAUGUGUGGACAAGAAGGACAAGGACAAAAAUAUGCCCUUCCAGUCUCAGGCCUGAGACAUGCUCCCACACAGCCAUCCUUCCUGCAGGCCUGUGAUGCAUCCUUGGCCCUGCAAUGCCAGAAGCAUGUGCUGCAGGAGGGCAUGGGUCUGGCUGCUGGGGGCCUCUCUCAACUCCCCAUAGGGUCAGUAAGGAGGGAGCUGGCUCCCAUCUUGUCCUUGGGCAUUCUUUUUCUCCCUUAAUAGUUGCUGUCAUCCCCUUGGGUACAUUUCCCUCUGGGAGAACCAAGCUGAGUAAAAGAAAUGGGGCAAUUUUGGUCCUAUGGGAUCAGUUUACUGAACUAGAGGACCAGUGCAACCUAUUUAAUAUUAGUUCUGUUGAUUUGGAGACAGAGGCUUGCAAAAUUAAAUUUGUGCACCUUAAGGUUAGGUCCUUGCCUUUCAAAAUUCCUUGCAUGACCACGAAGAGCCAAUGUUGGUCCAUCUUAAUUCAGGAUUGAAACUCUUCAGGAUUUACCACUUCUGCAACCUCCCUGCUGCCCUCCUUCCCUUGCAUCUCCUAGCAGCAGGCAUCUACAGUAAUGGAGAACAGCUGUAUAGUUGAAGGAAAAACCAAGAGGCUUGGAGACCAAGUAGGCAACCCUCCUUGUUCCCUGCCUUGUGGAAGGAAAAACAUUGUGCCCACGGAUGCAGGGCCCUGGGGUGGCUUUAAAUUGACUAAAGACUCUACUGCUGCGUGAAGUUUGGCUGCAAGAACAGUGUGGUAAAACACACAUUACCACUUUCCUACAUUAUAGUUAAUCACUAUUUUCUAGAAUAGUUAAGUUGCCAUCCCCUCCCAGAGAAUAAUUACUGCUAUUUAAUUGUAUUUAUAAUUUAGUAUACACCUGAAAAAUAUGCUGUAAAAUAUCAGGGGGGUUCCCUUUAAUACUGGUGUUCCAUUUACAAACUGUCACAUUUAUAAUGCGUCUUUAAUCUUCUGUGGUCUGCUAGAAUUUUAUAUUAAAGUCUGCUUUGUGCUUUAAAU